RNAcentral lists this ribosomal RNA (256 nucleotides) under uncultured bacterium. RNAcentral describes it as "partial 16S ribosomal RNA". It matches the Rfam family "Bacterial small subunit ribosomal RNA", at positions 524 to 777 of the family's 1533-position model. The record is from RNAcentral.
UACGAAGGGGGCUAGCGUUGUUCGGAAUUACUGGGCGUAAAGCGCACGUAGGCGGACUAUUAAGUCAGGGGUGAAAUCCCGGGGCUCAACCCCGGAACUGCCUUUGAUACUGGUAGUCUCGAGUCCGGAAGAGGUGAGUGGAAUUCCGAGUGUAGAGGUGAAAUUCGUAGAUAUUCGGAGGAACACCAGUGGCGAAGGCGGCUCACUGGUCCGGUACUGACGCUGAGGUGCGAAAAGCGUGGGGGAGCAAACAGGG